UACGGAGGGUGCAAGCGUUGUUCGGAAUUACUGGGCGUAAAGCGCGCGUAGGCGGUCUGUUAAGUCAGAUGUGAAAGCCCAUGGCUCAACCAUGGACGUGCAUUUGAUACUGGCAGACUUGAGUAUUGGAGGGGGUGGUGGAAUUCCCGGUGUAGAGGUGAAAUUCGUAGAUAUCGGGAGGAAUACCGGUGGCGAAGGCGACCACCUGGCCAAAUACUGACGCUGAGGUGCGAAAGCGUGGGGAGCAAACAGG
RNAcentral lists this unclassified non-coding RNA (253 nucleotides) under uncultured Desulfobulbaceae bacterium. Its description in RNAcentral is "contains 16S-23S intergenic spacer region". It matches the Rfam family "Bacterial small subunit ribosomal RNA", at positions 524 to 776 of the family's 1533-position model. Lineage: Bacteria; Pseudomonadati; Thermodesulfobacteriota; Desulfobulbia; Desulfobulbales; Desulfobulbaceae. The record is from RNAcentral.